AACGAACGCUGGCGGCAUGCCUAACACAUGCCAGUCGAACGAGACCUUCGGGUCUAGUGGCGCACGGGUGCGUAACGCGUGGGAACCUGCCCUUAGGUUCGGAAUAACUCCCCGAAAGGGGUGCUAAUACCGGAUAAUGUCUUCGGACCAAAGAUUUAUCGCCUUUGGAUGGGCCCGCGUUGGAUUAGCUAGUUGGUAGGGUAAAAGCCUACCAAGGCGACGAUCCAUAGCUGGUCUGAGAGGAUGAUCCGCCACACUGGGACUGAGACACGGCCCAGACUCCUACGGGAGGCAGCAGUGGGGAAUAUUGGACAAUGGGCGAAAGCCUGAUCCAGCAAUGCCGCGUGAGUGAUGAAGGCCUUAGGGUUGUAAAGCUCUUUUACCCGGGAUGAUAAUGACAGUACCGGGAGAAUAAGCUCCGGCUAACUCCGUG
RNAcentral lists this ribosomal RNA (433 nucleotides) under uncultured bacterium. RNAcentral describes it as "partial 16S ribosomal RNA". It matches the Rfam family "Bacterial small subunit ribosomal RNA", at positions 29 to 507 of the family's 1533-position model. The record is from RNAcentral.